Molecule: ribosomal RNA, 440 nt
Filed under: uncultured bacterium
Lineage: Bacteria
Description: partial 16S ribosomal RNA
Rfam family: Bacterial small subunit ribosomal RNA
Source: RNAcentral
CUACGGGGCGCAGCAGUGAGGAAUAUUGCACAAUGGGGGGAACCCUGAUGCAGCAACGCCGCGUGGGGGAUGACGCAUUUCGGUGUGUAAACUCCUUUUAUAUGUCAAGAAAAUGACGGUAGCAUAUGAAUAAGCACCGGCUAACUCCGUGCCAGCAGCCGCGGGUAAUACGGAGGGUGCAAGCGUUACUCGGAAUCACUGGGCGUAAAGGACGCGUAGGCGGGUUGGAAAGUCAGGUGUGAAAUCCUACAGCUUAACUGUAGAACUGCACUUGAAACUUCUAAUCUAGAGUAUGGGAGGGGGAGAUGGAAUUAGUGGUGUAGGGGUAAAAUCCGUAGAUAUCACUAGGAAUACCUAAAGCGAAGGCGAUCUCCUGGAACAUUACUGACGCUAAGGCGUGAAAGCGUGGGGAGCAAACAGGAUUAGAUACCCGUGUAGUC